UGGGGAAUUUUGGACAAUUGGGCGAAAGCCUGAUCCAGCAAUGCCGCGUGUGUGAAGAAGGCCUUCGGGUUGUAAAGCACUUUUGUCCGGAAAGAAAUCCUUGGCUCUAAUACAGUCGGGGGAUGACGGUACCGGAAGAAUAAGCACCGGCUAACUACGUGCCAGCAGCCGCGGUAAUACGUAGGGUGCAAGCGUUAAUCGGAAUUACUGGGCGUAAAGCGUGCGCAGGCGGUUUGCUAAGACCGAUGUGAAAUCCCCGGGCUCAACCUGGGAACUGCAUUGGUGACUGGCAGGCUAGAGUAUGGCAGAGGGGGGUAGAAUUCCACGUGUAGCAGUGAAAUGCGUAGAGAUGUGGAGGAAUACCGAUGGCGAAGGCAGCCCCCUGGGCCAAUACUGACGCUCAUGCACGAAAGCGUGGGGAGCAAAACAGGAUUAGAUACCCCUGGUAGUCCACGCCCUAAACGAUGUCAACUAGUUGUUGGGGAUUCAUUUCCUUAGUAACGUAGCUAACGCGUGAAGUUGACCGCCUGGGGAGUACGGUCGCAAGAUUAAAACUCAAAUGAAUUGACGGGGUCAUAGCUGUUU
Molecule: ribosomal RNA, 585 nt
Filed under: uncultured bacterium
Lineage: Bacteria
Description: partial 16S ribosomal RNA
Rfam family: Bacterial small subunit ribosomal RNA
Source: RNAcentral